RNAcentral lists this long non-coding RNA (237 nucleotides) under Lathyrus oleraceus (garden pea). RNAcentral's name for it is "Pisum sativum (pea) long non-coding RNA (PSAT_LNC006616)". The record is from RNAcentral. Lineage: Eukaryota; Viridiplantae; Streptophyta; Magnoliopsida; Fabales; Fabaceae.
UCAAAUUAAAAUCAUUCAUUCAUUUUGGGAGAUGAAAUGUACAUUUCAUCAAUCCCCUAAAUCCAAUGAUUUUAAUCCAACAAAAGUCAAAACAACCUUGACCAAGGCCUAUACGCAUAGUUAAACUUCAUAAGUCAAUAAAAAUGGCUCAACAUAAUUUCUACACAGUUAAUCAAUUAAAAAUCAAAUUAAAAUACAUUUAAAUUAAAUUAUGUUUGAUUAAAAACCUAAAACCUC